GAUGAACGCUGGCGGCGUGCUUAACACAUGCAAGUCGAACGGAAAGGCCGAAGCUUGCUUCGGUACUCGAGUGGCGAACGGGUGAGUAACACGUGGGUGAUCUGCCCUGUACUUCGGGAUAAGCUUGGGAAACUGGGUCUAAUACCGGAUAUGACAAUCUCUUGGAUGGGGUUGUGGAAAGCUUUUGCGGUAUGGGAUGAGCUCGCGGCCUAUCAGCUUGUUGGUGGGGUAAUGGCCUACCAAGGCGUCGACGGGUAGCCGGCCUGAGAGGGUGUACGGCCACAUUGGGACUGAGAUACGGCCCAGACUCCUACGGGAGGCAGCAGUGGGGAAUAUUGCACAAGGGGCGCAAGCCUGAUGCAGCGACGCCGCGUGGGGGAUGACGGCCUUCGGGUUGUAAACUCCUUUCGCAACCGACGAAGCUUUUUGUGACGGUAGGUUGAGAAGAAGCACCGGCUAACUACGUG
Molecule: ribosomal RNA, 467 nt
Filed under: uncultured bacterium
Lineage: Bacteria
Description: partial 16S ribosomal RNA
Rfam family: Bacterial small subunit ribosomal RNA
Source: RNAcentral